This 1485-nucleotide ribosomal RNA is filed under the name Oenococcus oeni. Its description in RNAcentral is "bacterial LSU rRNA". It matches the Rfam family "Bacterial large subunit ribosomal RNA", at positions 1 to 1504 of the family's 2925-position model. Lineage: Bacteria; Bacillati; Bacillota; Bacilli; Lactobacillales; Lactobacillaceae. The record is from RNAcentral.
AGGUUAAGUUAAUAAGGGCGCAUGGUGGAUGCCUUGGCACUAGAAGGCGAUGAAGGACGUGACUAACUACGAUAUGCCUCGGUUAGCUGUAAGUAAGCUUACCCGGGGGUUUCCGAAUGGGGCAACCCGAUCUUAAUGAUCAUCAUCUUUUUGAAUUCAUAGAUUAGAUGAAGCAAACGCUGUGAACUGAAACAUCUCAGUAGCAGUAGGAAAGUAAAGAAAUUUCGAUUCCGUCAGUAGCGGCGAGCGAACGCGGAAGAGCCCAAACCUGGAUGCUUGCAUCCAGGGGUUGUAGGACUGAUGUUGAGUUACAAAGGUAUAAGAUAGCAGAAACAGUUGGGAAGCUGUUCCAAAGAGGGUGACAGGCCCGUAUGCGAAAUCUUGUACUCUCUAAUCAGGAUCCUGAGUACGGCCCAGCACGUGAAAUUGGGUCGGAAUCUGGGAGGACCAUCUCCCAAGGCUAAAUACUAACUAGUGACCGAUAGCGAACAAGUACCGUGAGGGAAAGGUGAAAAGAACCCCGGAAGGGGAGUGAAAUAGUUCUUGAAACCGUGUGCUUACAAGAAGUUCGAGGCCGUUAAUGGCUGAGAGCGUGCUUUUUGUAGAAUGAACCGGAGAGUUACGAUUGCGUGCAAGGUUAAGGUGCAAAGACUGGAGCCGUAGCGAAAGCGAGUCUUAAUAGGGCGAAUCAGUACGUAGUUGUAGACCCGAAACCGAGUGACCUAUCCAUGGUCAGGUUGAAGGUGGGGUAAUACCUACUGGAGGACCGAACAAGUGGGUGUUAAAAAACCCUUUGAUGAACUGUGGAUAGCGGUGAAAUUCCAAUCGAACUCGGAGAUAGCUGGUUCUAUCCGAAAUACAUUUAGGUGUAGCCUUGCAAUUAGCUUACUGGAGGUAGAGCACUAUUUGGUCUAGGGGCCCUUCAAGGGUUACCAAAAUCAGAUAAACUCCGAAUGCCAGCUAAGUAUGUGCAGGAGUCAGACGGUGAGUGAUAAGAUCCAUCGUCGAAAGGGGAACAGCCCAGAUCACCAGUUAAGGUCCCUAAAUAUAUGCUAAGUGGAAAACGUUGUGAAGGUGCAUAGACAACUAGGAGGUUGGCUCAGAAGCAGCCACCCUUUAAAGAGUGCGUAAUAGCUCACUAGUCGAGUGCUCUUGCGCGGAUAAUGUACCGGGGCUAAGCAUAUUACCGAAACUGUGGAUGCGUAAGCAUGGUAGGAUAGCGUAAUUAACGCGAUGAAGGAUGACCGUAAGGACAUGUUGGAGCGUUAACUAGUGAGAAUUCCGGUAUGAGUAGCGAAAGAUAGGUGAGAAUCCUAUCCACCGAAUGAGUAAGGUUUCCCCCGGAAGGCUCGUCCGCGGGGGGUUAGUCGGGACCUAAGGCGAGGCUGAAAAGCGUAGUCGAUGGACAACAGGUUGAUAUUCCUGUACCGAUAUUUAAUUGCCGAAGGAAGGACGCAGAAGGAUAACACAGGCCACUAUUGGAUG